UGGGGAUUGAGGCAGAAACUAUUGCUGAGAUAUUUUCUUCCUCCACAUCUCUUUGUUCCUUCCUCUUUAAUGCGCUUUCUUGAGGCCACUCUUGGGCAUGAAGAACUGCUGGAAUAAAAUGUGCUGUGAUAUUUCUAAAACAGAAAUACCUUCACAGUGAACAUGAAAAUCAAUUGUACCCCCUUGUGAUGAACACACCAUGUGUUAACUCACUGAAAGCGAUUUACCAUGGCAUUGGGUGGUGGAUUUAUCACAGAACCUGCUAUGAAGUGGUCUCUGGGGGCAACAGAACUAAAGGUAAAUUGCAUUUCUUACCUAAAGGAAAGAUUCUUUUUUUUCUUUUCUUUUUUCUUUUUUUUUUUUUUUUUUUUUUUUUUUUCUUUUUCCAUUCUCUUUUUUUCUUUUUCUCUUAUCUUAAAGCAUAACGUCAUUGUCAUGACUAAGGUCUGGCUAACGACAUAAACAGAGAGCUAUGGGCGAACAUAGUAUAAUCCCUAGAAUCAGGAAUUACUCUGAUGGGUAAUAUUCUUAACUUGAUUCAAAUAUUUAAUAAUUUAUGUUUUCUAUAUGGUUCGUCAUUUUAUAUAUUUACUUAUUUAUUUUAAUGUUACAUGCAAUAUUUUC
Molecule: long non-coding RNA, 624 nt
Filed under: Anas platyrhynchos platyrhynchos (common mallard)
Lineage: Eukaryota; Metazoa; Chordata; Aves; Anseriformes; Anatidae
Description: lncRNA (ENSAPLG00000020066.1)
Source: RNAcentral